UAGUAACGGCGAGUGAAGCGGCAACAGCUCAAAUUUGAAAUCUGGCUUCGGCCCGAGUUGUAAUUUGCAGAGGAAGCUUUAGGCGCGGCACCUCCUGAGUCCCCUGGAACGGGGCGCCACAGAGGGUGAGAGCCCCGUAUAGUUGGAUGCCUAGCCUGUGUAAAGCUCCUUCGACGAGUCGAGUAGUUUGGGAAUGCUGCUCAAAAUGGGAGGUAAAUUUCUUCUAAAGCUAAAUACCGGCCAGAGACCGAUAGCGCACAAGUAGAGUGAUCGAAAGAUGAAAAGCACUUUGAAAAGAGGGUUAAAUAGCACGUGAAAUUGUUGAAAGGGAAGCGCUUGUGACCAGACUUGCGCCGGGCUGAUCAUCCGGUGUUCUCACCGGUGCACUCUGCCCGGCUCAGGCCAGCAUCGGUUCUCGCGGGGGGAUAAAGGCCCUGGGAACGUAGCUCCUCCGGGAGUGUUAUAGCCCGGGGCGCAAUGCCCUCGCGGGGACCGAGGUUCGCGCUCU
Molecule: ribosomal RNA, 508 nt
Filed under: Parvomelanocarpus thermophilus
Lineage: Eukaryota; Fungi; Ascomycota; Sordariomycetes; Sordariales; Chaetomiaceae
Description: eukaryotic LSU rRNA
Rfam family: Eukaryotic large subunit ribosomal RNA
Source: RNAcentral